Molecule: transfer RNA, 72 nt
Filed under: uncultured archaeon
Lineage: Archaea
Description: tRNA-Cys(gca)
Rfam family: tRNA
About the family: Transfer RNA (tRNA) molecules are approximately 80 nucleotides in length.
Source: RNAcentral
GGGCGGGUAACAAAGUGGCUAUGUGGCGGACUGCAGAUCCGCCUACGAGGGUUCAAAUCCCUCCCCGCCCUC